Molecule: non-coding RNA, 6464 nt
Organism: Chlorocebus sabaeus (green monkey)
Lineage: Eukaryota; Metazoa; Chordata; Mammalia; Primates; Cercopithecidae
Source: RefSeq, a predicted model, not a curated record
GUCUCAAAAAAAAAAAAAAAAAAAAAAAAAAAAGAAUUUUUGUCAGUUUCUUCUCUUAUCAUGGUCUAACCUCAGACAACUUACAGUGGGUGCCACAGGUGUUAAUAUACAAAAGAAUAAACAAUACAGCUGGGGUGAUCUCUUCUUUCUGGAAGAUUACUGUACUCAAAGACACAACAUUUUCUAAACAUUUAGAAAUGAAUUCCUAAAAUUCUAUCAAUGCAAACCGAGUGGGAAUAAUUCAGAAACUGAAGGCUGCAAUGGUUUGUCUCCUUCCAAAUUCAGCCUUCCUUCCCCUCUCCCACAAUGACCCCGGCCUUUUUUUGCGUAUAAAUUACCUCUGCCUGGGGUUGGAUGGGGCACUGUGCUAAACCUCUGGGAGAGGAUGUGCUCUAGGCCUCCAGGAACUCAUACUCUGUGACAGAUGGUGGCAAAUUAAACUGGCAGUUGAAAAAGCCAGAGUGUUUCCAGGGCUUCUGCUAGAGGAGUGGUUCCAGAGGGGUAGAGUCAGGCAAGAUGAAUAGCUGGAAAGUGGCCAAAAGCAAUCCGUGCUCCGCAUCAAUUUGGUUAAUAAAUACUGCCUGAAAACCUAUGUAGAAGAAGCUAUUCCAGACCCUGUAUGUGCACACAAAGAUAAAAGAGACCUUUUUCUGUCCUAUAAUCUGGUAAGACUGACAACACACUGAAGGGAGCAGCGACAAUGCUAGGCUGGACAGGGGUAGGAACAAAGGCUGAUACAAGAGUGAGCCCAAAAUUACAACUGUAGUGUGAAAAUGUGUGUGGAUGGGUGAGCCUUGAAUGACAUGAUAAGAAUGAGAGAAACUGAGUCCUGGGGCUGGCCAGGACCCUAGGAAUGAUCUAAGCAAUCCCCUCAAUUUAAGCAUGAGGAAACUGAGAUCCCUCCCUAGCAAAGUGAAGUGACUUGUCCAAGGUCAGGGUCACUCAGGUGCUUGAUACUCAGUGAUUUAAUAGUACAAAUAAUACAACCAGUGGCUAAGAUGAUGAAGCACCUAUUCUAAGUGCUUUAGAUGUACUCACUAGAUUAACUAAUCACAUCCUCACACCAGCUUAUUUUCGCUUAACAGAUGAAGAAACUGAGACAGAAGAGGGUAAAUACCUUGCCCAGUCAUGGAGCUGGUAAAUGUUGGAAAUGAGACUUGCCCAGCGGUUGGGCUCCUGGGCCUGUGCUCCGAACUUCUGGGGUACAUGGCCCCUUGGCCUCUGAUUCCUGGGCCAGUGCUACUUGUCCUGGAACCGGGCCUGGAAGGGACUGGGGAGACACUGUACUCUCCUAAACAAGGGAGUGACCUGAUGAAGGUGGCAUUUAGUGAUGCUUCGUAUGGCUUCAGUGGUCAAGGUGGACUAGAGAAGAAAUGGAGAAGGGAGACCAGGUAGGACAUGAAUUAAAUUCAGUUAUGAUGCACAUCUGGACUGCAGCAGGUCUGGAGAAGAUGGUGCUGGACUGGAAUGGUUAGUCAGCAGUCAUUUACUCCACGGGAUGAACUAGCCUGCCCUGUUGCUUAUCCUGUGGGAAAAGAAAAACAACUGAAGGAAGGAAUGGAGAGGGGAGAAAACAAAAAGGAGAGGAGGAAUAGUAUGUAAAGGGAAGGGGCAAAGGAGCAAAAGUAGAAAUGGAACAAGACUGGUGAUGACUUCACAGUAUUUCCUCACCUAGUCCCUGGCCUUUUGGCUAUAGUUUAAACUAUCAAUUUCUGUCAAUUUCUCAUUGAAGGAAUAGAACGGGAACGAUGCCAUCCUAAUGAGCACGAGACCUUAACAAGGUAGUAGAGAUCUCACGAGAAACCCAGCUGGGGUCCACAGAUCAGGAACUCCCACAGGGAAGGACUUGCCACCCCAGUGCUAGGACCCCAUCAGCAUACAGCAGACACUGAUAGGACCCCAUUAGCAGAUAGCAGACAGCUAUAGGCUGUAGAGACCCUCCUCGUCCAAGGUCGCAGCCUUCAUGGAGCAACCCGCAUCCAGCUACUGACUGACACAGAAGGACAAGGCCAGGCCAUUUUAGCCCAACAUGGGUAAGCCCGACAGGCCAUUAAAACUCCAAAGCUCCCUGUAGGGUGGGCUGAGGCUGCUGCUGUGCCCUCUCACAGCUCAACUCCUCCCUCUACCCACUCCUGCCUCGUCUCCCUUCCUUCCACAGGUGUGGAUCCGAGAACACUCCUUAAUAAACCUCCUGCCCACUGAACUCUGCUCAGAGUCGGCUUCCGGGGAGCCCAGGCAGCAUCGCAGAGGCUCUCUGUCCGCCUCAUCCCUCCGCAACGAAACUCCAACUUCCUCCUUCUGGUUAGGGAGUGCCUCUUCCUCCUGCACCGUGCACUUCCUCCACAAACCGUGUGCAUCACGGGCGGUGAUCUUUCCUGUGGAGACGGCCUGCUCUUCAGCUGGGGCAGAGGCUUAAUGGCCCCCCUUGCUGAAGCCUUCAAACAGGCUGGGGGCAGGUUGCUUUAUCUCCCCGUUGACUGCAGAUGUAUACAGAACAUGGAAUCCCUUGACAUUUUUUUUUUUUUGAUUGAAGCUUUUUGUUUUUAAAUUUCUGUGAGACCCACUGGGUCAGGCUUCAGGAUCUGCCGAUAGACCUUUGUCAGCAGGGGUGUGUGUGUGUGUGUGUGUGUGUGUGUCUAAAUGUAAGUAACCACCAGAGCUUGCUUCAGUAGUCAAGGAGAAUUCAUUGUUUUAAUAGAAUAACUCAUGAAGUUCAAGGGCCAGAAUGCAGCCCAGCGAUGUGGACUGCCUCAGGGCAUAGGCAGAAGGGCCUCUCCAGCUCUCUCUGCUCUGGGCUGGUACUCACGCUGCAGGCCAGGCAGGGCUGCUGCUUUGUGCACAUGGCAGAGGCAGCAUGCCCCUGAGUGCCGGGAUCCACCCCACCGCAGAUCCAGCCACACUUGUUAGUGGUUUCUGAAUACUGCUUCCAGAUCUCAAGAGAGUGAAACUCUGACUGCCCAGCUUGAGCGAGUGGGCAACCCUGCUCACCCUGCUGUUAGGGGGCUAGUCCCACAAACAUGGCAGACAUCCCCUGACCUCCUACAGGGGGUGCAGACUGUGGUGAACAAAGGGGACGACCCUCCACAAAGGGCCCAUGACAUGGUGUGAGCAUGCGCACAGUGGGGUAGGUGCACCAAUUAGACAAUGUUUGCAUGCGAUAUGACUAGAUUUCUCAAGAGACAACUCUCAUAGAUCAAUGUGCCCGUCACAGAGGAGCAAGGAGUAUGCUUGAGAGGAAGAGACAAUGAGUAGCUAUUUGAAUUCAUUGUGAACCGGGCAAACUGUAAACAGGGAUGACACUGCUUCCCACAUAGUCACAUACACAGCAUCACGAAGUUAAGAAGAUCAGCCACAUUGAGUGUGGCGCUCUCCUCCUCUUGGAGCAACGUUUCCAUUGACAUUCGGAGAGGCGCGCUGCCCCCAGAUGCUCGUUUUCAAACACAGGACGUGAGCAGUUUCACAAAUAUCCACCAGAUGGUACCUUCCUACCAGAAAUUAGGUUUCAGGUUGUGAAAAUCCAAAUUGUUUUUCCACUCUACGGACAAGCUAUAGAAUCAGAUGCCUGCCCUGGCUACGGUCAAAGGAAAGAAAAUGGGUGAGAACCAAUUCCAGGGGACGACCCACAGUGUUUUUAUUCUCAGGAAUACGAAAGAGAAGUUGCAGGGUCUUUGUGUGGUGGAGGGAGGGAGCUGCUGUGGAUGAGUCAUGGAAAGGCUGCGUGCAAGGGAAAGACCUUGAGGUUAUCUCCUGAGAGGGAUUGGUUGUAAAUAUCCUCAAUGGCAUCUUUGUUUUAUCCCACUGGUUGCCAAAUACCUGUGAGUCUGCACAGCACUCCUGGAAUGCUCAGAAAUGAUGACUGGUUACCCUGUCAAAGAAGGCCUUUGUUGGAGAAACUUCCUCAUUUGUUCAGGCCUUUGGGUUGUAAGCCCUGAGCCGUAGUCUCCCCAGGUUGUCUGCCUGUGUGGGCUGGGGAGGGUAACGGAUGUUCACCAUGGGGUGACCCCCUUGUCCUGGUUUGGCAGGUGCCUUCCUGCCUUUAGCACUGACAGUAAAGCAAACCCAGGCGGUUGGUUAUCUCGGUGCACUGAGCUGUACACACUAGGGACAAUGCUGGAUCCUCACGCAGGUUCAAUAAGCUGGGCAAUUUGAAUAUCUUCACAUUAUUAAUCAUUUUAUUCUUGGCAUUUGCUUACCAGAUCUCCCUGCUUCAUUUUGCCAGGGAGGCUUAUGUCAGAAAAGGUAAAGUUAUGGAGAAAGAGGUUUUUUCUUGGCUUUUGAGUUCACACAUUACAGAGGUAAAACCGAAUAGAUGUGGGAGAACGUGGUAAAUAGAUACAACUUUCCUGGGUUGGGGAGAGAAAAGAGAAUAGUGAAACUCCGUCUCCACUAAAAAUACAAAAAUUAGCCUGGCAUGGUGGCACGCGCCUGUAAUCCCGACUACUUGGGAGGCUGCGGCAGGAGAAUCCCUUGAACCCAGGAGGUGGAGGUUGCAGUGACUCUGUUCCCUGCAUUGGAAGUGCUCCCCACCAAACUCUCUAACAGAAGGGGUGGGAUUUGCAGGCUCCCUGGGUGGCGUGCUUUCAACACCUUGUGGGCUGCCUUCCACUCUGGUAUUCUCCUCUGCCUGCUGAUGCUUGAAAUCCCUUGAACCGGCCACACAGACCUGCAUUCUGGAAUCAGAGAUAAGACUGGAAAGGCAAGGUUUCCUGGGACGGGAAAAGAGUGAUUUAAAUUUUCGCCGAGGUGUAAGCUGCGGAUGGCAGGUUCUUUCCUGAGAACCGCCUUCAACUAGGAGGAGGAGGUUGGAAGCAGGACCCUGAGCUGACCCGUCGAUCAGGAGAAGAGUAAGCAGAAAGGAGGGACGCGUGGGUGGCAGGAGAGAAGGCUGGGAGCCAGGGUGGGGGUCGCUGCCCCCAGCCCCGCGAUGCUGAGCUGAUCCCCACAUUCCACGCUAAUGGGUCUCUGUUUUGAUUUUACAAGACUAAAAAGUAGUUUUCUAAAAACAUUCUGGAAUGCAAAAAGGUUCCCACUAUUUAUUUACUUACAUAAGACUAUUAACAACAAACAAACUCUACCACGUAUAGUCACCACCAUUCACAAAAGAAAGGAUGUUUGAAUGACAAAAAAGUGAAAACGACAAUCUCCAAGUAGGAUAAUCCUUUACAUUAGAUGCACAUAGCUUUAUGGAAGAAGAAUGACUGUUUUGCUGUUUUCUACCCCCCUUAGCCGUGAUCCCAUGAAAAUGCUGGCAGAGACUGGCAUCCAGGCACCAACUGGCUUUUGCGAAUCACUCACUGUUCCCGCCCGGAUUCUGAAGCCCGGAGCCGUUUAUCGUUUGAGGCACCUUGCUUCCCCCUGGUGGCCACAGGGAGUUACUGUCGCGGCUAAAAGGGCGUCACAGUGUAUACACAGCGCGCCCUAUCCCGCCAUACAUUCUCUGCUUUUUGAACACCCGCCGUGGGCUAAGCAGGGGACCCAUGUGGGAUGCAGACACAUGGAGAAGAAGAGAGCCAGGCCCUUGCUGCCAAGGAACUUUCUUAUAACACCGAUGCUUCAAACAAAAGGACUCAGGCUAACGGUGCCUCCACACGUCAAUAUCCGAGAAGAGAGAAAGGGGAUGUGGAAAUUUGCACAACGGCUCUUGAAGUUUUUCGGGUGGAGGAAUCCACAGCACUUCCCAUCGCAUCUCUUUGACCAAGGCUAUCCAGGAGGCCAUUCCUAACCUGGAAGGGGUGGGGAAAUGAAGUCCUUACCCUGUGCUCAGAAGGAGUGAGCACUAGGUUACCUGUAAACAGCCCAAAUCACCACCACGGUUAGAGAUAUUUCCAUAACUGCUGUUAGGAAAAAGUGAUUUCUCCAUCUGAUUAAAAAACAAAAAAAUUAGAGGUGAGGGUGGGGGUGAAGGCAAAAGAAAAAAAAAAGAAAUUCAUAUUAAGCAUAAUCUUUUUCCUUAUUAUUUCUAUCUAGUGGUUAACCAUUGCUUUCUAGUGAGCAGAAAAAAGCUUUCCAUACACUACUUAAAUAUGUGAAAAUAAGUAAAUGUUGCAUUCCCUUAUCUUUUCUUCUCAGGAUUAAGUGUCUCCCCAUUUUUUUUUUUUUAACCACACUUUCCUCGUAUGAUGUAGUUUCCAGAACUUUAUUUACCAUUGGUAAUAUAUACUAACCGAAUUGUAGCAGGCUGUGUUCACUAAGUGAGCUCAGUGGGAGAAAAAAUUUAAAAAGUAGUUUCUGGUAAGGAGAAUCCAAAGAUGACUUUUUGCCUAGAUCCCUGGGUUUCUUCACCAGCAUCGCCUAUGGAAGAUCAGCAGCUUCUCAACCCUCAACCACAAUGGAAGCACCUGGAGAAAUUAAUCAGUGCUGCGGAGGCUUCUCUGCCAGGGACUCUGAUUGAAUCCGCUUUGAGUGGUCCUGGGUAUCUGUAUUUUUUAAACAAUGUUCUUCUGUUAUCUAGAGCUGCAUAACAA